This 3524-nucleotide long non-coding RNA is filed under the name Hordeum vulgare. RNAcentral describes it as "long non-coding RNA (HVUL_LNC004229)". The record is from RNAcentral. Lineage: Eukaryota; Viridiplantae; Streptophyta; Magnoliopsida; Poales; Poaceae.
GAGUGUGAUCUCGUAAGCAUGUGUAGGUGUGUGUGCAAGAGCCUUGUGUUGCAAGCAUGUGUGAGUGUGUAUGGUGAUGUCCUAUGACACACAUACAUGAGGUACAACCCUCAUGUUCACCAUUGGAGUUGUGGGUGUGUGCAAGUGCAUGUGUAGGUCAAUAAUAGAGAGUACCACAUGUGAUAUGGCACUAUUUGGCACUUUAAGAUUCUAUGUUGUUUUUCCUUUCAACUUUGUGCCUACAUGUUGUAUGCAAGUACCUGGGUAUUAUAUAUGUUUUUGGGGUAGAAUCUUCCCAGAAAUCCAUUGGUGGAAUCAGAUUUCACUUUGGGACAAUUUCUGGAAAUGUCAUUUUUCUGUCUUGAUGCUAUGUUUAGAGCUUGGUGCCAUGUGGUGUGAUGAGCCUAUGAGGAUGAUUCCUUGAUGUGGCAGUAGUGGGUGAACUUCUCUACAACAUGGUAGUUUUGUUUAUGCUUAGGAGUUUGUAUGUGCAAGUUGUGCCUUGUCAAAAAUAACAUGUGGCUGAAAUUGUCAGCUUGGUGAAAAUCUAUGAUCUUCACUAAGUCUAAGAAACUGAUGUUAUUUUCUUCCCUUGUAGUUGUGGUUGCAAAAGCUCAUGUGUUGGUAAUCAGCCCUUGCAAUCAACUAGAGAGUUGGAGAUUUUGUGUUUGUCUAGCUCUCUGUUAAAUUUCAUGCACUUUCACUUCCUAUAGAUAUUGAUUUGGGGGCUGUCAAAAUGCUUCCGAGCAUAAGCAGCUGGUGAGAAUCUGAGAUUUUCGCUAAGUCCCUGAAAUCUGUUAUUUUUGUCCUUAGCACUUGUAGAUCUUUAUGUGUGUAACUCCUUUGUAUUAUCUUCUUGCUCAUGCCUGAAGAGAUUUUGAAUAGCUUUUACCACAUAUCUUGUUUGGCACAUUUGGGUGGUUGUAGGUGCUUUGCAUGUUGCUCACAAACUGCUAUGAUGCUGUUUAGGACAUAUUGUAUAGUUUUGUUGUUUUGGAGCUUGUGAGUGCAUAGUUGGUGGUGUGGUGAGUUUCUUUGCACCACCCCACCUAUACUUGUUCGUUUGAUCAUGUGGCUACCUGGGGAUACCAGAAGUGUGCCAUUGGAGUGUGCUUGUGAUGGAUUNNNNNNNNNNAUAUCUUGUUCCGUAGUUUCCGGUUGAUCCGUAGCUCCGUUCGCUACGUUUUUUAUACGUCUUUACAUUGUUUUCUCGUGAUGCACCUGUUCAUGUCAUAUUCACGCAUAUCAAGAUAGCUUAGAGAGAAGUUCUGCCCAGAAGUUUAUCUUCUCUUCUCAUGCAUAUGCAAGUGACUAGAUUAGAGAUGCAUGCUUCAUUCUCAUCUCAUGCAUCAUGUGUUUAAUACAUCAUGUUGUGUUGUUGUUCAUUGGCUGUUAUUUUUAUCUUGGAUAGCACCAGGAUAGGAGAGCGAGUUUGUGGAUUCGGGAGAGUACGUGCAGGACGAACAAGAGCAGUUCCAAGCUGAAGACAUCACACAGGCAAGAUGACCGUGACCUUGAUACCGUAACUAGCUUUGUGAUGCUUAGAUUCAUGUUUCCUUCAUCAUAUGAUCGUUGCCUACCACUUGAUAUAAUUGCCUCCUGAUAUUGCCAUGAAACCCAAACACCUUCCCCUCCUAGCUAAUGUUGAAUGGCUAAGUAGGCUUGCUCAGAUUCUAAUGAUAGCUUUGCUAGUUGCACGUGCCAACUGUCUCAUGUGAUAACAUGAGUUUUGAUAUCAUUAUGUUUUAAACUACUAUCUAUUUAAUGCACCUAUAUACUUGCUAAAUGACGGAAGGCCUAGCCUUUUGCCAGGAGAUUUGUUUCGUUAUUGCUGCCUUAGUUUCCGGCUACCGGUGUUUGAUUCCAUAACUGAUCGCUCCUNNNNNNNNNNNNNNNNNNNNNNNNNNNNNNNNNNNNNNNNNNNNNNNNNNNNNNNNNNNNNNNNNNNNNNNNNNNNNNNNNNNNNNNNNNNNNNNNNNNNAACGAAGUAAUAGUGAAUCUAAGCAUAAGAAAGCUAGUUACGGUAUCAAGGUCACGGUCAUCUUGCCUGUGAUGUCUUGAGCUUGGAACUGCUCUUGCUCGUCCUGCACGUACUCUCCCGAAUCCACGAACUCACUCUCCGAUCCCGGUGCUACCCAAGAUAAAAAUAACAGCCACGGAACAACAACACAACAUGAUGCAACAACCACAUGAUGCAUGAGAUGAGAAUGAAGCAUGCAUCUCUAAUCUAGUCACUUGCAUAUGCAUGAGAAGAGAAGAUAAACUUCUGGACAGAAAUUCUCUCUAAGCUAUCUUGACAUGCAUGAAGAUGACAUGAACAGGUUCAUCAUGAGAAAAAGAUGCAAAAACAUAUAAAGAACGUAGCGAAUGGAGCUACGGAUCAACCAGAAACUACGAAACAAGAUACGGAGUCCUACGGAUCAAAUCCAUCACAAGCACACUCCAAUGGCACACUNNNNNNNNNNUGCCACAUGAUAUACAAACAAGUAUAGGUGCGGUGGUGCAAAGAAACUCACCACACCACCAACUACGCACUCACAAGCUCCAAAAAACAAAACUAUGCAAUCUGUUCUAAACAGCAUCAUAGCAGUUUGUGAGCAACAUGCAAAGCACCUACAACCACCCAAAUGUGCCAAACAAGAUAUGUGGCAAAAGCUAUUCAAAAGCUCUACAGGCAUGACCAAGAAGUUAACACAAAGGAGUUACAUACAGAAACAUCUACAGGUGCUAACUUGGACAAAAAUAACAGAUUUCAGGAACUUAGUGAAAAUCUCAGAUUCUCACCAGCUGCUUAUGCUCUGAAGCAUUUUGACAGCCCCCAAAACAAUAUCUACAGGAAGUGAAAGUGCAUGAAAUUUAACGCAGACCUAGAUAAACACAAAAGCUCCAACUCUCUAGUUGAUUGCAAGGGCUGAUUCCCAACACAUGAGCUUUUGCAACCACAACUACAAGGGAAGAAAAUAACAGCAGUUUCUCACACUUGCUGAAAAUCACAUAUUUUCACCAAGCUGACAAUUUCAGCCACAUGUCAUUUUUGACAAGGCACAACUUGCACAUACAAACUCCUAAGCAUAAAACAACACUACCAUGUUGUAUAGGGGUUCACCCACUACUGCCACAUCAAGGAAUCAUCCUCAUAGGAUCAUCACACCACAUGGCACCAAGCUCUAAACAUAGCAUCAAGACAGAAAAAUGACAUUUCCAGAAAGUGUCCCAAAGUGAAAUCUGAUUCCACCAAUGGAUUCCUGGGAUUAUUCUACCCCAAAAACAUGUAUAAUACCCAGGUACUUGCAUACAACAUGUAGGCACAAAGUUGAAAGGAAAAACAACAUAGAAUCUUAAAGUGCCAAAUAGUGCCAUAUCACAUGUGGUACUCUCUAUUCUUCACCUACACUUGCACUUGCCCACACCCACAACUCCAAUGGUGAACAUGAGGGUUGGACCUCAUGUAUGUGUGCCAUAGCACAUCACCAUACACACUCACACAUGCUUGCAACACAAGGCUCUUGCACACACACCUACAC